UGGGGAAUAUUGCACAAUGGGCGCAAGCCUGAUGCAGCCAUGCCGCGUGUAUGAAGAAGGCCUUCGGGUUGUAAAGUACUUUCAGUCGGGAGGAAGGUGGUAAGGUUAAUAACCUUAUCAAUUGACGUUACCGACAGAAGAAGCACCGGCUAACUCCGUGCCAGCAGCCGCGGUAAUACGGAGGGUGCAAGCGUUAAUCGGAAUUACUGGGCGUAAAGCGCACGCAGGCGGUUGAUUGAGUCAGAUGUGAAAUCCCCGGGCUUAACCCGGGAAUUGCAUCUGAUACUGGUCAGCUAGAGUCUUGUAGAGGGGGGUAGAAUUCCAUGUGUAGCGGUGAAAUGCGUAGAGAUGUGGAGGAAUACCGGUAGCGAAGGCGGCCCCCUGGACAAAGACUGACGCUCAGGUGCGAAAGCGUGGGGAGCAAACCGG
Molecule: ribosomal RNA, 429 nt
Filed under: Chloroflexota bacterium
Lineage: Bacteria; Bacillati; Chloroflexota
Description: Chloroflexi bacterium partial 16S ribosomal RNA
Rfam family: Bacterial small subunit ribosomal RNA
Source: RNAcentral